UUCUCUGUACAUAAAUGGGCAGAUGGAUCCCUGGUUGUUUUCCCGUUGUCACCAAUGCAACUGAGGGACCCAUCUGAGUGACAGCUAAGGUUAACUGUCUGGACAGCUGCGAGUCAAGCCUUCAAGACACGCUGCUUUAUCUGAUUGGUCUCAGUCUUGAUCUGGCACAUGAAAGGAAAUGUGAGGAAGUUUCAAGCAGAGAUCAUUUUGCAAGUCCAAAGAUGAGGCUCAAACCCACUCUGUUACUGUACUAUGCAAGCUGUUUGCUUUCUACUGCUUGGGAGUUUAGGCUGUUUGGAGAGAUUGCAAGUGAAUCUUUUCCACAGAAGAUUUUUGUAGCCAUGUUAUACUGCUAUCGAAAAGAUCUGA
This is a long non-coding RNA of Melopsittacus undulatus (budgerigar), 369 nucleotides long. RefSeq lists it as uncharacterized. The record is from RefSeq and is a predicted model, not a curated record. The transcript is spliced from 3 exons. NCBI's taxonomy places the organism in Eukaryota, Metazoa, Chordata, Aves, Psittaciformes, Psittaculidae.